CUCUCCUUCUCUCUUUAGAGUUUUUUUCUCUCUAUUCUCUCUUCAUUUGAUUCAUGGACCCUCGUAUGAACUUAAGAUGAUGUACCUAAGCAGUUCGAAACUGCUUUAAUAUCUAUGCAAGAUGUCAGACCCCACCCCAAUCAUGUCAAAUACCUCGAAACCUACUAUUGAUGAACCUAUUGAUUGACCUUGGCUUUGAUUCCACUUCAUAUUUCAUGAUUCUUUGAUCGAGUCACCUACAUC
This 243-nucleotide long non-coding RNA is filed under the name Elaeis guineensis (African oil palm). RNAcentral describes it as "long non-coding RNA (EGUI_LNC041471)". Lineage: Eukaryota; Viridiplantae; Streptophyta; Magnoliopsida; Arecales; Arecaceae. The record is from RNAcentral.